Molecule: ribosomal RNA, 253 nt
Filed under: uncultured bacterium
Lineage: Bacteria
Description: partial 16S ribosomal RNA
Rfam family: Bacterial small subunit ribosomal RNA
Source: RNAcentral
UACGUAGGGUGCAAGCGUUAAUCGGAAUUACUGGGCGUAAAGCGUGCGCAGGCGGUUCGCUAAGACCGAUGUGAAAUCCCCGGGCUUAACCUGGGAACUGCAUUGGUGACUGGCGGGCUAGAGUAUGGCAGAGGGGGGUAGAAUUCCACGUGUAGCAGUGAAAUGCGUAGAGAUGUGGAGGAAUACCGAUGGCGAAGGCAGCCCCCUGGGCCAAUACUGACGCUGAGGUGCGAAAGCGUGGGGAGCAAACAGG